GUUCGGAAAAGAUAACCGCUGAAAGCAUCUAAGCGGGAAACUUGCCUCAAGAUGAGAUCUCACUGGGAACUUGAUUCCCCUGAAGGGCCGUCGAAGACUACGACGUUGAUAGGCUGGGUGUGUAAGCGUUGUGAGGCGUUGAGCUAACCAGUACUAAUUGCCCGUGAGGCUUGACCAUAUAACACCCAAACA
RNAcentral lists this ribosomal RNA (192 nucleotides) under Pseudomonas aeruginosa. Its description in RNAcentral is "partial 23S ribosomal RNA". It matches the Rfam family "Bacterial large subunit ribosomal RNA", at positions 2753 to 2925 of the family's 2925-position model. Lineage: Bacteria; Pseudomonadati; Pseudomonadota; Gammaproteobacteria; Pseudomonadales; Pseudomonadaceae. The record is from RNAcentral.